Molecule: ribosomal RNA, 209 nt
Filed under: uncultured bacterium
Lineage: Bacteria
Description: partial 16S ribosomal RNA
Rfam family: Bacterial small subunit ribosomal RNA
Source: RNAcentral
CACGUAGGCGGGUAUUUAAGUCAGGGGUGAAAUCCCGGAGCUCAACUCCGGAACUGCCUUUGAUACUGGGUACCUAGAGUAUGGAAGAGGUGAGUGGAAUUCCGAGUGUAGAGGUGAAAUUCGUAGAUAUUCGGAGGAACACCAGUGACGAAGGCGGCUUACUGGUCCAUUACUGACGCUGAGGUGCGAAAGCGUGGGGAGGCAAAACA